CCUUCAGCUGCGACUCGCGCAGACGCACCAGCUCCUCCAGGUAGCCCUGCGGGGCGCCGGCUCAGCCCGGGCGGCUGGGAGGACGUCCCGGCCGCGGCCCCCAUCCCCGCCCCGCCCCGGGAUGCCCGGAUCCCCCGCCCGGCCCGCCCGCCCCCCGGGCCCGCCGGCGUCGCGCACCUUCUGCGCGUAGACGAUGCGGAACUUCUGCUCCAUCUUGUGCCACUUGCUGUACCAGCUGUCCUCAUCGGUGACGAGCGGGAGGUAAAGAAAUUGAUGGUCCAAGAGGUUGACUGAUCUGUUCGGAGUCACAUGGCUUAUGAGUAGUCAAGCAGGAACAUCCCUCCCAGGACUCACUCACACCUAUUCUCCAACUCUGCCUACCUGCUCAAUUCACCUGAUGCUCUGCCAGUGGAUUGCUGAUGUCUCUACAUUGAUUCAGAUUUGCACCCACAUCUGAAAAUGGUCAGCAGGCAGGGACCCUCUGUCACCACAGGUGGAGGAAGAGGAGAUGAAAGAGCCUUGUCUGACACCCUGGAGACUGGGAAACUACCCAGACUGUGUCCUCUCCCUCUUACUCUCCUAAAGGAAGACAAGGAAGACAAUGACAAAUGGCGUUUGCAGCAAAGCAACACCAACAGCCAACUUGAUGCUCAAGAGAGAACGCUAUGCCUCUUCCUCAUGGUUUCCAGUGCUCUACACAUUCUGAGAAACUUUUCUGGUUCUACUUCUGGAGGGAACCCAAACCAACACAUUUGAUAUCCAAAGUUGUCCUAGGAAGUAGACCCCCAGGAUAAGAUUCUGGUUUUGGAUCACUCAUCAUCCAGAUGGCCCAAAGAUUCCAUUGCUGAGGGUCUCACUCUGUUGCCCAGGCUGGAGUGCACUGGCGCAAUCACGGCUCACUUCAGCCUCAACCUCCCAGGCUCAAGAGAUCCUCUGCUCUCUGCCUUCCAAGUAGCUGAGACUACAGCCACACACCAUCAUGCCCAGCUAAUUUUUUUUUUUUGGAGACAAAGUCUUGCUCUAUCGCCAGGCUGGAGUGCAGUGGUGUGAUCUCAGCUCACUGCAACCUCCACCUCCC
RNAcentral lists this long non-coding RNA (1078 nucleotides) under Homo sapiens (human). RNAcentral's name for it is "HSALNT0390032". Lineage: Eukaryota; Metazoa; Chordata; Mammalia; Primates; Hominidae. The record is from RNAcentral.